GACAGAGGGUGCAAACGUUGUUCGGAAUUACUGGGCGUAAAGCGCGUGUAGGCGGCUAUGCAAGUCGGAUGUGAAAGCCCUCGGCUCAACCGGGGAAGUGCACCCGAAACUGCAAAGCUAGAGUCUCGGAGAGGAUCGUGGAAUUCUCGGUGUAGAGGUGAAAUUCGUAGAUAUCGGGAGGAACACCAGUGGCGAAGGCGGCGACCUGGGCCAAUAUUGACGCUGAGGUGCGAAAGCGUGGGGAGCAAACAGG
This 253-nucleotide ribosomal RNA is filed under the name uncultured bacterium. Its description in RNAcentral is "partial 16S ribosomal RNA". It matches the Rfam family "Bacterial small subunit ribosomal RNA", at positions 524 to 776 of the family's 1533-position model. The record is from RNAcentral.